UACGGAGGGUGCAAGCGUUAUCCGGAUUUACUGGGUUUAAAGGGUGCGUAGGUGGGUUUGUAAGUCAGUGGUGAAAUCUUCGAGCUUAACUCGGAAACUGCCAUUGAUACUAUAGAUCUUGAAUCAUCUGGAGGUAAGCGGAAUAUGUCAUGUAGCGGUGAAAUGCUUAGAUAUGACAUAGAACACCAAUUGCGAAGGCAGCUUACUACGGAUGUAUUGACACUGAGGCACGAAAGCGUGGGGAUCAAACAGG
This 253-nucleotide ribosomal RNA is filed under the name uncultured bacterium. Its description in RNAcentral is "partial 16S ribosomal RNA". It matches the Rfam family "Bacterial small subunit ribosomal RNA", at positions 524 to 776 of the family's 1533-position model. The record is from RNAcentral.